GUCCACGCCGUAAACGAUGGAUACUAGCUGUUGGGAGCAAUUUCAGUGGCUAAGCGAAAGUGAUAAGUAUCCCACCUGGGGAGUACGUUCGCAAGAAUGAAACUCAAAGGAAUUGACGGGGCCCGCACAAGCGGUGGAGCAUGUGGUUUAAUUCGAUGAUACGCGAGGAACCUUACCAAGGCUUAAAUGUAGUUUGACCGUUUUGGAAACAGAACUUUCGCAAGACAAAUUACAAGGUGCUGCAUGGUUGUCGU
RNAcentral lists this ribosomal RNA (254 nucleotides) under uncultured bacterium. RNAcentral's name for it is "partial 16S ribosomal RNA". It matches the Rfam family "Bacterial small subunit ribosomal RNA", at positions 793 to 1055 of the family's 1533-position model. The record is from RNAcentral.